GAUCCUGGCUCAGGAUGAACGCUGGCGGCGUGCUUAACACAUGCAAGUCGAACGAUCCUUCGGGAUAGUGGCGGAUGGGUGAGUAACGCGUGGGAAUCUGCCCUCAGGAGGGGGAUAACGGCUGGAAACGGCCGCUAAUACCCCAUAUGCCGAGAGGUGAAAUGAAUUUCGCCUGAGGAUGAGCCCGCGUCUGAUUAGCUAGUUGGUGGGGUAAAGGCCUACCAAGGCAACGAUCAGUAGCUGGUCUGAGAGGAUGAUCAGCCACACUGGGACUGAGACACGGCCCAGACUCCUACGGGAGGCAGCAGUGGGGAAUUUUCCGCAAUGGGCGAAAGCCUGACGGAGCAACGCCGCGUGAGGGAUGAAGGCCUCUGGGCUGUAAACCUCUUUUCCCAAGGAAGAAGACCUGACGGUACUUGAGGAAUAAGCCACGGCUAAUUCCGUGCCAGCAGCCGCGGUAAUACGGGAGUGGCAAGCGUUAUCCGGAAUUAUUGGGCGUAAAGCGUCCGCAGGCGGCCUUGUAAGUCUGUUGUUAAAGCGUGGAGCUCAACUCCAUUUAAGCAAUGGAAACUACAAGGCUGGAGUGUGGUAGGGGCAGAGGGAAUUCCCGGUGUAGCGGUGAAAUGCGUAGAUAUCGGGAAGAACACCAGUGGCGAAGGCGCUCUGCUGGGCCAUAACUGACGCUCAUGGACGAAAGCCAGGGGAGCGAAAGGGAUUAGAUACCCCUGUAGUCCUGGCCGUAAACGAUGAACACUAGGUGUCGGGGGAAUCGACCCCCUCGGUGUCGUAGCCAACGCGUUAAGUGUUCCGCCUGGGGAGUACGCACGCAAGUGUGAAACUCAAAGGAAUUGACGGGGGCCCGCACAAGCGGUGGAGUAUGUGGUUUAAUUCGAUGCAACGCGAAGAACCUUACCAGGGUUUGACAUCCUGCGAACCCCUGAGAAAUCGGGGGGUGCCUUCGGGAGCGCAGAGACAGGUGGUGCAUGGCUGUCGUCAGCUCGUGUCGUGAGAUGUUGGGUUAAGUCCCGCAACGAGCGCAACCCACGUCUUUAGUUGCCAGCAUUCAGUUGGGCACUCUAGAGAGACCGCCGGUGAUAAACCGGAGGAAGGUGUGGAUGACGUCAAGUCAUCAUGCCCCUUACAUCCUGGGCUACACACGUACUACAAUGCUACGGACAAAGGGCAGCAAGCUCGCGAGAGUUAGCAAAUCCCAUAAACCGUGGCUCAGUUCAGAUCGUAGGCUGCAACUCGCCAACGUGAAGGAGGAAUCGCUAGUAAUCGCAGGUCAGCAUACUGCGGUGAAUACGUUCCCGGGCCUUGUACACACCGCCCGUCACACCAUGGU
RNAcentral lists this ribosomal RNA (1345 nucleotides) under metagenome. RNAcentral describes it as "bacterial SSU rRNA". It matches the Rfam family "Bacterial small subunit ribosomal RNA". The record is from RNAcentral.